This is a long non-coding RNA of Crotalus tigris (Tiger rattlesnake), 2501 nucleotides long. RefSeq lists it as uncharacterized. Lineage: Eukaryota; Metazoa; Chordata; Lepidosauria; Squamata; Viperidae. The record is from RefSeq and is a predicted model, not a curated record. The transcript has 2 exons.
AAUGUUGAGGAGGAAGCCAUGUCUGAAUCUCACCAAAUUUACAGCUAUAACUGCUGGAUUACAUGAAUGGUAGCUGUAGAAUGAGAGUUUAAUGAUAGUUUGUUAAUGAGAAAAAUGUUUUUUUUUACUUUUUUUCUAAUUUAUGUCUGUUUUGGGAUAAGAAAUAUAAUCUCUGGAUGCUAAUUAAGGAUUUAUUUCUAUUAUAUAACACUCAUAUUCAUUGGUGUUCAAUACUAGCUUUUUCUCCAUUAAUCUGCAUCAUGUACUUAUGCUUGAAGUAGAGUUGUCCUGUAAAUCUGCCACUAAAAGUUUUUUGAGAGGUUGUGGGAUUUGAAAGAAAUAUAAACAAACAAAAGAAAAAAAGUGGACAGAGAUUGGCUUGUAUGAUCAUUUUUAUUACCAGUUUAAAAGGAUCAAAGAGGAAAAAACAUUUUCCUUCUCACUGCUAUGGCUUAUGAUAGAUAUGUGGCUAUCUGCCAUCCUUUACACUACAUGUCCAUGAUGCAAUGGAGAAGCUGCUUCCAGAUGGCAGGGGCUGCAUGGAUGCUCGGCUUUCUUAAUGCUGCCAUGCAUGCAGGAACCCUUUUUUCAUUGCCUUUCUGUUCUAAAGUCAUCCAUCAGUUCUUCUGUGAAAUCCCACAUCUCAUGAAAAUUUCCUGCUUCGAUCCGAAAUUUAGUGAAAUCAGGGUUCUUCUCUUUAGUUCUUUGCUUGGUGUUGUUUGUUUUAUGUUAAUUAUCAUGUCCUAUGUAAAAAUAUUUAAGACAGUAUUGAGCAUGUCCUCCGUGGCCAGUAGACAAAAGGCCUUCUCUACUUGCAUUCCUCAUCUCCUUGUUGUCUGUUUAUUGCUUGGUACAGGUAUAUUUUCCUAUUUCAUACCAAAUUCUGGGUCUUCUUACAAUUGGGAUGAGGUCUUUGCAGUGAUCUACUCUGUGAUCCCUCCAAUGAUGAACCCUGUAAUUUAUAGCAUGAGGAAUAAGGAUAUCAAAACUGCUUUAUGGAAGUUGUUUAAUCAAAGGAUUACAAAUCAAAAUACAAAACUCUGCUAAGAACAACUAAACCAUUUUCCCUUAAGGACUAAAAAUAUCCCACUAAUUUUUUGUCCCGAACAAUAACAUCUUUAUUAUCAUUUAAGCUUUGUGAACUACAAUUUACUUAUUUGGACGCAUUGGGCAUAGUUCAGAGACUCACGCACAUGCAUUUAUAUGAAAUGGUUAAAAUGUUAAAAAUUUGGAAUUACCAGUAGUUAUCUUAAGCAAAGGGGAAAAUAAGUGUGACAUCCACAUUUUCAGUUUAAUAUUUUGAUCAGAGUAUAUAUUGGGAUAAGAAACAUCAAUGAAAGAUUAUUUUAAUUCUUGUCUUGGCCAAGUAUUUGAUCAUGAAAUCUCCUUUUCUUCUCUCAUUUCCUUUUUUAAGAUAACAACCUUGAAAUCAGGCUCAGAAUGUUCUAGAAAAUGUCCAUUACUGGUGUCAGAUUUUAUGUGGAAGUGGAAUGUUUUAUCCCAUGUACAAUGGGCUGGGACCAGGGUAACAGAUGAUAGGAAAUUCUUUUGUAAUGAAUAUUUGCUCCUGUGAUAUUCUGGGUGAGACAAUACGAUCUUUUUAUUGUCUGUGUAUCAUUCUGGUGUUGUUGUUUUUUCUGACUAAUAGGUGCUUCAUCUAGGAUAGCUGUCUGCAAGCAAAUGCAGAUAUCCAACAUCAUAUAGCCUUAGGUCAACUAUGGGUGUUAUUACUCUUUAUACUUUGUCAAGGCAAUGCAGGUACCACAACAAUCUUUUUAUUAUUUAUUGUUCUUCACCGAGCAUUCACUGCAUUUCUUUCUCAAGCUCUUAAAAAUAGGCUAAAAAGAACAAGGCAUUAAUAGUAGUGUUGAAGCAACAUUUGUUGUUGUGGAAUCAAUCAGCAGCUAAACCAAUAUAAAAAUACUGAAACAGUGAACAAUUUAAACUUAUUGAAGCUGCUAUUAACCACAUACGGUAAUAUAUGUUGUAGUUAGAAAAUCCUAAACCAUCAGCAUAUUUACAGUUUAGCUGUAGGUCAAUGCAUAUUUGGACAAUCUUUUUCUGAGAAAUUUCUCUCCUUAGGAUGGGGUUGCAAAUCCCGAAGACGUGCUCAAGAUGGUAUACAAUUUGGAUGUUGUUAAAAUUUUGAGAUUCUGUUGACUGAUUGUUGUAGAUAUGAUUAGAUUCAGACUUCAUUAAUAUUCUAUUAUCUGCCCAUGGUCUUCAAAACAAUAUGGAAAUUUUCCUACCAUAUACCAGAUGGAGAAUCCAAUUAAUUUGUAACCAAAUCACAUCCAUUGAUAUUUUGCAUAGUUGCAGGUUUGGAGGUGAGGAAGAAAAUUCUACAGUAUAUCUCAAAUUUUAGAGUUUGGCAAAAUCAUUAUUCCCAAUCAAAGGUUUCUCUAAAGUUUGAUAACCAUAACCACACUAUGUUUUUCUUCUAUGAAAUUUCUUCUUUAAUAAAAGGAAGCUGGUACUGGGGACCUGUCUUUUUCAUUCUA